Molecule: long non-coding RNA, 582 nt
Organism: Eriocheir sinensis (Chinese mitten crab)
Lineage: Eukaryota; Metazoa; Arthropoda; Malacostraca; Decapoda; Varunidae
Exons: 3
Source: RefSeq, a predicted model, not a curated record
ACAACAACAACAACAGCAACAACUACAACAACCACCACAGCCACCACUCUACCGCCACAUCUACGACCGACCAUCAGCCUCUUCACCCUCCUCAGAGAAAGAGCCUUGGCCAGUGUCGAUGUCUCUGAUCUCCGCUACACGUCGGGAGAGGAAGAGCGCGCUAAUUGAUCACUCUUGGCUCUAAUAACGACACGCCUCGCUGCACCUGAGAAUGCCGCCUCCCAUUACCUAUUGAUUGGCCCACACCUGCACCCACGCCCCGGCCGGUGAGUACCCAGUAAGCCGCAAUACCUCUACCCAGAAGCGUAUUAACAGUGUAUCCGUCAUUCUUUCUCCGUGACGGCUGUUUUAGGGGUUACUGCAAGCCUCCCCGCGGCAAUAUAUCGUGUACUUUGUUUGCACACUUGAUGCAUUCUGAGCUUUUGCUUACUCAUUAUAUUAGUGUCCGAUGAGUUAGUGAGCCAAUAAUCUGCUGCUAUGCUACCUGGAAAUAUGUUGAUAGUUUCCUUCACCCUUUGCGUUCUUUGAUUCUCACUUCUUCUGCAAACCGUCGACUAUCACUAAUACUAUCACUAACUUAUA